RNAcentral lists this ribosomal RNA (178 nucleotides) under uncultured bacterium. RNAcentral's name for it is "partial 16S ribosomal RNA". It matches the Rfam family "Bacterial small subunit ribosomal RNA", at positions 1315 to 1500 of the family's 1533-position model. The record is from RNAcentral.
ACUCCGUGAAGCUGGAUUCGCUAGUAAUCGCGCAUCAGCCAUGGCGCGGUGAAUACGUUCCCGGGCCUUGUACACACCGCCCGUCAAGCCAUGGGAGCCGGGAGCGCUUGAAGUGCGUCGCCGCGAGGCGCGCCCUAGAGCGAGACCGGUGACUGGGGCUAAGUCGUAACAAGGUAAC